Molecule: long non-coding RNA, 778 nt
Filed under: Zostera marina
Lineage: Eukaryota; Viridiplantae; Streptophyta; Magnoliopsida; Alismatales; Zosteraceae
Description: long non-coding RNA (ZMAR_LNC004977)
Source: RNAcentral
GAUUCUUUUACUUAAGCCGUCCGAUCUUCAUUUACUGACCUUCCUUCAACUAAAAUGCCCAACACACUUUUAUUUAUUUAAUUGAAAGUAUUGCGCUUUUGGUCCCUGAUACUUUUCAUAUUCAUUCUGUUCACUCAGGGUCUAAUUACCUGCAAGCACAUUAUUAUUUUUAUAUUGCCCAUUAGUUCAAUUACAGAUAUAUCGAUUUAUAUUUAAUUACAUUAGUCUAAUUACUUCUUCAUGGAAAUAGUCAGUUCGAGUCUCAGAUGAAGCACAUUCGAUCAAAUCUUUUUAUGGACAAUAAGGGAGAUCUAACACUAGUGACCUUGGUGAUAUUUCUUUUAUUGAUUAUGAUGAUCGUAACCCUGCCAAUGUAUUUUUGGACCUUGCUGAUGAGUCCUAACAACAUUCAAGAUGUGUGCAUUUGUGUUAUGCAAAAAACUGUAAAAAUGGACAUAAUAGUAUCUCGGUCAAAAUUUUACAGUCUUCCAUAGAUGAAGUCACCGUCAUUGGAAUCUCAAGCAAUGGAUAUUUUCAUAGGAAAGAUAAAGAAAAUCAUGGAAAGGAAUCUCUAUCGUUCGAACACGGUUUGGUUUCAAGGGAAUCUCUAGCAAUGGAGUUGGUCGCCAAAGGUAUCGGUUUAGAAUAGCUACAUUCUGGACGUGGUUGUAUCAGAGAAGAAAGAAGAAAGAAAUUCCGAGACUGGCCGUAGGUGAGAGGAGGAAGAUAAUCUCCAGUAGGGGCCAUAGGAGGAAGAUAACAUUUAUUUCAAUCACUG